AAGAUAUGUUUGAGGUAAUUACCAGUUCCGUGGCAGGCCCCUCAAUUGCUCCGAGGGCCGAAGUGUUUGCUUGUACAGUUGGUCGAAAACCCAGCAAGGCAAAAUAUUAUCUGGAUGAUACAGCAGAAAUUGUUAGGCUGAUGCAAGGUUUGGCUUCAGUUUCAGAACAAACAGUAACAGUGUAAGCUGAGUGAAGGAUGUACUCUCUUGUUUUCUCCUUAAGCAUGUAGGUUGAACAGUAUAAUCCACAUAGUUUUCUCUCUUUUCCUGCUUUUCUUUCAUGUGUAAAUUAUCAUAGUGUUGCGUAAGAGAAGCAGGAAAAGAGUGUGGAAGCGGAAACACUUUUUUUUUACUUCUUUGUGUUUGAUUUCUUUAUAGUGAAGUUGUAAAUACAUGUUUGCUCCAUGAACCUGAGCUUGUUGAACUGCAAUUAUCUCUGCAUUCUUGUCCUUAGCUCGCAAAAUUUAUCCAUAUGAUUCUAUACUCC
Molecule: unclassified non-coding RNA, 487 nt
Filed under: Hevea brasiliensis (rubber tree)
Lineage: Eukaryota; Viridiplantae; Streptophyta; Magnoliopsida; Malpighiales; Euphorbiaceae
Source: RNAcentral